This 252-nucleotide ribosomal RNA is filed under the name uncultured bacterium. RNAcentral describes it as "partial 16S ribosomal RNA". It matches the Rfam family "Bacterial small subunit ribosomal RNA", at positions 524 to 775 of the family's 1533-position model. The record is from RNAcentral.
UACAGAGGGGGCAAGCGUUGUUCGGAAUUACUGGGCGUAAAGGGCGCGUAGGCGGCCUUCUAAGUCGAACGUGAAAUCCCCGGGCUCAACCCGGGAACUGCGUCCGAUACUGGAAGGCUUGAAUCCGGGAGAGGGAUGUGGAAUUCCAGGUGUAGCGGUGAAAUGCGUAGAGAUGUGGAGGAACACCGAUGGCGAAGGCAGCCUCCUGGGCCAGCACUGACGCUCAUGCACGAAAGCGUGGGGAGCAACAGG